This is a long non-coding RNA of Perognathus longimembris pacificus (Pacific pocket mouse), 194 nucleotides long. RefSeq lists it as uncharacterized. The transcript is spliced from 4 exons. NCBI's taxonomy places the organism in Eukaryota, Metazoa, Chordata, Mammalia, Rodentia, Heteromyidae. The record is from RefSeq and is a predicted model, not a curated record.
GUUUGGCUAAAACACUUCUUGUCAAAUUUAUUAUAGUUAGUCCAUUAUGCAAAAGGUAGAAGGUUUUAUCUUUGCUUUGUUAUACUUUAAUUAUAUCUUUCAUCUUUCCCUUGCAGUAAUGUUUCUAUAGCUCUAGUAAUAAAUAUUCUAUCUCCUAUACUAAUUGUAAUGAAAUGGUUUAUUAAAAAUUUAUU